Molecule: ribosomal RNA, 224 nt
Filed under: uncultured bacterium
Lineage: Bacteria
Description: partial 16S ribosomal RNA
Rfam family: Bacterial small subunit ribosomal RNA
Source: RNAcentral
UAGUGGCGCACGGGUGCGUAACGCGUGGGAAUCUGCCCUUUGGUUCGGAAUAACAGUUGGAAACGACUGCUAAUACCGGAUGAUGACGAAAGUCCAAAGAUUUAUCGCCAGAGGAUGAGCCCGCGUAGGAUUAGCUAGUUGGUGUGGUAAAGGCGCACCAAGGCGACGAUCCUUAGCUGGUCUGAGAGGAUGAUCAGCCACACUGGGACUGAGACACGGCCCAG